Molecule: ribosomal RNA, 483 nt
Filed under: uncultured bacterium
Lineage: Bacteria
Description: partial 16S ribosomal RNA
Rfam family: Bacterial small subunit ribosomal RNA
Source: RNAcentral
GACGAACGCUGGCGGCGUGCUUAACACAUGCAAGUCGAACGCUGAAGCUCAGCUUUUGUUGGGUGGAUGAGUGGCGAACGGGUGAGUAACACGUGAGUAACCUGCCCCCUUCUUUGGGAUAACGCCCGGAAACGGGUGCUAAUACUGGAUAUUCACUGGUCUUCGCAUGGGGGUUGGUGGAAAGGGUUUUUCUGGUGGGGGAUGGGCUCGCGGCCUAUCAGCUUGUUGGUGGGGUGAUGGCCUACCAAGGCUUUGACGGGUAGCCGGCCUGAGAGGGUGACCGGUCACAUUGGGACUGAGAUACGGCCCAGACUCCUACGGGAGGCAGCAGUGGGGAAGAUGGCACAAUGGGCGCAAGCCUGAUGCAGCGACGCCGCGUGAGGGAUGGAGGCCUUCGGGUCGUGAACCUCUUUCGCUCAUGGUCAAGCCGCAACAAUGGUUGUGGUGAGGGUAGUGGGUAAAGAAGCGCCGGCUAACUACGUG